RNAcentral lists this ribosomal RNA (497 nucleotides) under uncultured bacterium. Its description in RNAcentral is "partial 16S ribosomal RNA". It matches the Rfam family "Bacterial small subunit ribosomal RNA", at positions 28 to 507 of the family's 1533-position model. The record is from RNAcentral.
GAUGAACGCUGGCGGCGUGCCUAAUACAUGCAAGUCGAGCGAACGGACGAGAAGCUUGCUUCUCUGAUGUUAGCGGCGGACGGUUGAGUAACACUUGGAUAACCUACCUAUAAGACUGGGAUAACUUCGGGAAACCGGAGCUAAUACCGGAUAAUAUUUUGAACCGAAUGGUUCAAAAGUGAAAGACGGUCUUGCUGUCACUUAUAGAUGGAUCCGCGCUGCAUUAGCUAGUUGGUAAGGUAACGGCUUACCAAGGCAACGAUGCAUAGCCGACCUGAGAGGGUAAUCGGCCAAACUGGAACUGAGACACGGUCCAGACUCCUACGGGAGGCAGCAGUAGGGAAUCUUACGCAAUGGGCGAAAGCCUGACGGAGCAACGCCGCGUGAGUGAUGAAGGGCUUCGGAUCGUAAAACUCUGUUAUUAGGGAAGAACAUAUGUGUAAGUAACUGUGCACAUCUUGACGGUACCUAAUCAGAAAGCCACGGCUAACUACGUG